CAAGUAUAAAAUGUACAAAAUAUUCAAUGUCAAGAACUCGUAUAAACAAUUAAGAAUGGAAAUCACUAUACUACACUACAACACAAAGUAGAAGUUUUCAAAUAAAAUUGUAAAACCAGUCAAUUGGACUGCUUCCACUGUUAAAGUACAAUACAAUGUAACAGGUAUAUACUAAAAAGUAGAACUGCUCUGUUAAAACGAGAAUAUCCUGUACUGUGAGAAUGAAGGGUGACGCAAAGCGUUGAAACGCGACCAGACGCAAAAUAGUACACUUUUGGGACAUCCACGUUUCUGUCGUUAACAACGUCGUGGCAGUUUUCGCCGGGUCGGCAACGUCUUCGUCGGACGCGACGUCACGUGUAGGGUGGCUAACAACUUGAGGGGAUAAUUAGCGCCGGAGAUAGUUAAUCAGUCAAGAGAGAGAGGGAGAGAGAGAGAGAACAGCAUCCCCCGCGCGUCGCUAACGGCGAACGCGACCUGUCGUCUCCUUAUUAAAGCCAAACAGAAGUGUCUGGCGUUGUGACGUCAUUAUUAAUUCAAGAACGCCCGCCGCUAACGACCGCAGUAAUUACUCGCCGAUGCGGGAAUUCUGUUCGUCGGUCCGACACAAGAAGAAUGAACGCCGAGAUACGUUCGAUGCUUCUUGCUAUGUGCGUCAGUUGUUGCAUCUUUGCCCUUUUUUCUUUUCUCGUGCUGAUAGAUUUAUGAUCAUGAAGCCUUGAUUAUUCUGAAAUCAGCCGGAUACACGGCUUAGCCAGAAGAAUGUACAGUCUGUAAGAAUCUUCCUUUACCAGAUCUUUGAACCAAGUUAGCCAACGAAGUGGAUAGUUUGGUUAAUCUGAAGAAUUUCUCAUAUCCUGGCUACUCUCGUAAUGGCUUAUCUGUCAUCCUUCCAAUCGGUCGAGCAGAAUCUCGUGCAGCCGCCAUACGGACAUCGUACGAAGGCAAGGAACUGAGAAACCGUAUGAAAGAUACGAAUAUCAAUUGGCGAUAGAAAAUCCCACCGCGAGCAACAACAACGUUUGAGAAAUAUGGCCAGCAGCCAAGCCCAAGUCCUUGAUCCUAGGUACUUAUCACCCCCUUGCUGGAGCAACCGUUGGCCGCCUGUAGUACGCCGAGUGUGUACACAAUUUUGAACAACUUUCUUCCUUUUGCCGGGAUAGCUGGCAGCGAUAAAUUUGCCGCGGAGCUUUUAAAAGAAAAGAAGGAAAGAAGGACACGUGGAGCGUAUAGAUGCUAGCGCGUGCUAGCGAGAGCAAAGAAUAAGUAAGAGGAAGAAGAAAGAGAAAAGGAAAUAUAUAGAAUAGCGUGGAGUAGCGUGAAACACGCGACGAUGGGUAACGUUGCAGGUUAGGGCAGGUUAGGAUGAACGUUAGGUAGGCACAAGAUCGGCUCCCAGGUUUCACGUCCGACUUGUCAGUUACGUCACGUCACGUCACGGUGCGUCACGGCGCCCGGCACGUACAGAUACAAUGCGGUUGCCGAACCCAUAAAUCGCUCAAACGCCGCUCCUGCAAUGGACGCCGGUUACGUGGACGAAAUGCAAAACCAAUUGCACCCGAAUUCUACCGCCUGCAGUACCUCUCGACCACCCUCCGCGUCGUACCUGCAUGAUUUCUCUUGACAGCAUUCUCGUGUCAUGCCGGCAAAAUUCUGCCGGAACUUAUUAUAAUGAGACGUUUUCUCAGCGUUUUCGAGGUACAUGAUAUUCUUCGGAGAAAAGAGUCUACGUUAAAGCAAUUCUUAUUAUUCCUCAAAGAAAGGAGUCUACGUUAAAACAACUCUUAUCAACAUACAUGAUAUUGUUCAAAGAAAAGAGUCUACGUUAAAGUAAUUCUUAUUAAGGUAGAUGAUGUUGUUCAAAGAAGAGUCUACGUUAAAGCAAUUCUUAUUAAGGUAGAUGAUAUUCUUCAAAGAAGAAUCUACGUUAAAGCAAUUCCUAUUAAAGUAGAUGAUAUUCUUCAAAGAAGAAUCUACGUUAAAACAAUCUUAUUAAGGUACGUGAUGUUCCUCAAAGAAAAGGAUCUACAUUAAAGCAAUUCUUAUUAAGGUAGAUGACAUUCUUCAAAGAAGAAUCUACGUUAAAGCAAUUCUUAUUAAGGUACACGAUAUUCCUCAAAGACAAGAGUCUACAUUAAAGCAAUUCUUAUUAAGGUAGAUGAUAUUGUUUAAAGAAGAGUCUACGUUAAAGCAAUUCUUAUUAAGGUACACGAUAUUCCUCAAAGAAAAGAAUCUACAUUAAAGCAAUGCUUAUUAAGGUGCACGAUAUUCCUCAAAGACAAGAGUCUACAUUAAAGCAAUUCUUAUUAAGGUAGAUGAUAUUGUUUAAAGAAGAGUCUACGUUAAAGCAAUUCUUAUUAAGGUACACGAUAUUCCUCAAAGACAAGAGUCUACAUUAAAGCAAUUCUUAUUAAGGUAGAUGAUAUUCUUCAAAGAAAAGAGUCUAUGUUAAAACAACUCUUAUCAACAUACAUGAUAUUGUUCAAAGAAAAGAGUCUACAUUAAAGCAAUUCUUAUCAACAUACAUGAUAUUGUUCAAAGAAAAGAAUCUACAUUAAAGCAAUUCUUAUUAAGGUACACGAUAUUCCUCAAAGACAAGAAUCUACAUUAAAGCAAUUCUUAUUAAGGUACACGAUAUUCCUCAAAGACAAGAGUCUACAUUAAAGCAAUUCUUAUUAAGGUACACGAUAUUCCUCAAAGAAAAGAGUCUACGUUAAAACAAUAAGAAUCAUGUACCUUGCAUAUUCUGAAAUCGUCUAAAUUCUUACAAAAUUAAGGAAAUUCCGACAGAACAGAAAUUGAUAUUAUUAUAGAUACUUUGCGUGUAAUUAUAAAGAGACAUAAUUAUAUGUAUGUUAAAAUAAUAAUGAAAGUGUCGUCAUUAUUAUUUUAUCUAUUGUUCGAUCAAAAAUUGUUCUUUCCUAGUGUCAGUAAUUUAUUUUCAUUCAGAUAUUAAUAAAUUAAUUAUUUUGU
This is a long non-coding RNA of Bombus huntii, 2973 nucleotides long. RefSeq lists it as uncharacterized. NCBI's taxonomy places the organism in Eukaryota, Metazoa, Arthropoda, Insecta, Hymenoptera, Apidae. The record is from RefSeq and is a predicted model, not a curated record. The transcript is spliced from 3 exons.